Molecule: long non-coding RNA, 3186 nt
Organism: Ficedula albicollis (Collared flycatcher)
Lineage: Eukaryota; Metazoa; Chordata; Aves; Passeriformes; Muscicapidae
Exons: 5
Source: RefSeq, a predicted model, not a curated record
AUUGGAGUUUGCACUUAAAAAUUUAAUUCUGUGGUUUCAUUGCCUUUCAGGAAUUCUAUGUUAUCUUUUCCAAACUUGUAAGUGGGAGUUGUACCGCAGAGAUUUAUUUAUUUGUUGCAGUUUUUUCUAUUAGCAUUGGGCUCCUGUCUACAAAGAGCUGAUGAUCCCUGAGCUGCUGAGUUGCCAAAGCUCCUUGCCCAGGACCAGGACUUUCUGAAGAGUUGGUAUCUUUUCCAUUCCAAGAGUGUUUGAUGAACACGUUUGUUGGCACCUGUCCUUGUUUCCCUCCACUCCUCCCAUCUUCACUCCAAGGACCCUUCUCAAGAAUCUCACCUCCCUCAGCUUCCAGGGGUCCCUCUAGCAGAUGAGAGCUUCCCGUUGGUGUGGUGUGAUUUCUGAGCAGGGACAGGCUGAUACCUCUGAGCUCAGGGGCUGCUUCAUCUCCUCAGCCCUCCCUGGGGUCCUGCAGGCGCUUUCAGUCCUGCCUCAUGUCUUUGAUUUGGUGAGGUUCCCUGCUAUUUACAUUUCUUCACAUAUAUCCUCUUCAUACCAUCUGCUACCGUAUGUUUUGCUCAUCUCUGAAAUGUAGUGACCAUAUUUCAUGCAAUGUUGUUCUACAUAAUUUUCUUAAAGUUUAAUUAAAAGGUUCUGAGAGAACAAAGCAAAUUAGAAUUCACCCAUUUUGUGCAGACACUUUAAGUGAAUGGGAAGCAACUGAAUAAAGACCUUCAAAUACCUUGAGUGAAUUUGUUACCAAAAUUCUGUGCAGUCUUUAUCCAAAGGGUCUAUUAUUGAAUUAAUUAGGAGAGUUUUAUUAUUGACAAAAGUUCAGGUUGUUAUUAAAGACCAGCAUCUUCUCUGGAAACUCUUUCUUUGGAAUUCAGCAGUUCUCCUGAGUGGUAUUUACCUUGGAGUGAGUGUGUGGCUGUGCCUUGUUAGAUAAAAGCUGCAGCACUAAAACUGUUUUACUGAACUUAGCUCCUGACCUGCCUUCUGAGGCCACAGCUACAAAGGGAUGAUACAUCAAUCUAGUUUGUUUGAUCUAAUUACAGCUGUUUAACCAUCCUGAGCACAAGUGCACUCACCCCACUUUGUUAUGCUGAUUUCAGGUAUUUUCACUGUUAAUCGGGUGCACAGUGCUUGGUUCUUUCUUCUAUUAAUUUACCUCUCAAGAUACUCUGGGCAGUUAUCCCACAGAGAGGUGUUCUGCUACUCAGCUGUGUUAUUUUUCACAAUGUGUUGACAGGGAAUUCUCAGGAAUUUGGGGAUUCUGUUGGUCAACCUGACAACCUGACUACUCCUUUUCUCCUGUCAUCCAUUGGUUUUUUCCCUGUGCAGCUUCUUUUCUAAAGGCUUCAAGGUUCAUAAAGGAGAAAGUGGUAAAUCCAUUAAAACAUCCCUUUAAGUGCAGAAGUCGCCUGUGGAAGAGCAGAUUUCUGAUUAUUUCUAACUGAAAACUCUGGGGUUCAUGUCAAGAAUAUUGUCAUGGGAUCUUCUUUUAAUGUAUAUAUAUGAUCUUUUGUGCUUGGCUUAAGAAAUUACCUGGAGUUUUUGCCGUGUACAGUCUGUGGAUCAAACAAGGGCUGUGGAGCUUUGAGGAAUUAACAUGGUCCAUCUCCUCUUCUGUUUCCAGUGCCCAUGAACUUUGGAUUGCUGUCCUCUAACAAAAUGGACUAAUGGUAUUUUGUCCCCUCUCAAUUCUACCAUGAGCUCUCUCCUUUUUAUUUUCUCUUUUUCUUUUUUCCAAUUGAUUAAGCAAAUCCAGCAUCCCAGUUUGUUCUGCAGGGUUAGAUUUCCUCAGCCUCCCAGCAUUCUUGUUGCUCUCUUUGUGCUCUUUCCAAUUACUUUGCAUCUGCUUUUAUUUUCUAACGUGGAACCUGAAAGGGACACAAUAUUCCAGCUGAGAAUAUUCCAGCUAAAAUUAAAUCUGGAAGGCAUGUGAAGAGAACACCAACAGGAAAGGGAAGAGGUGGUGGAUCCAAGGAAGCUCGGAACAGUGGGAUGGAAAACGUCUCCAGUGGGCAGGCACCUAGGACAGAAGAUCCCAGCCCUGGUUUGCUGCUCUUUUGCUGAAGCAGCUCAGGCUCUCCCUCCCUCAUGGCCAGAGUGGAAAAGCACGUUUAAAUCCCGAGCUCGCCUUUCCCACGUGGUGUCUCGCUGAGCUGCUGUCAAAGCCACGCCGCGCUCUCACAGGGCACCGGAGCUUCUUCCCUGCCCUGCCGGGGAGGCACAAGGAGGCAGCCUUCAUCGAGCGAGGAGAGCAAAUCUUGGCAAGAAGAGCGCCGAAGGAUGUGAACCCCUUGGAAAAUUCCACUUCCUGCCCGGCACUGCGUGUCCUUGGGUCUCUCACUCAUUCCCAUGCACUUAACGAGGGAUUUCUGCCUCAGGCUACCACACCAACUUUCUAAAUAAAUGCCGCGCACACCCGAGCGCGGUGCUCUGCAGUUAAUCUCAGCCCAACACCAGCUCUCUCUCCUCUCUUCCUACUUCCCUCCAUUUUAUUUCUCCGCUGGUUUUUCUCUCCAGCAGGCUCCUACUCUCUCUCCUGCGGAACUUGCCGGGAACAAAAGGCUCCGUUCCCGAUCCAGCCCGCAGUUGCCGUGAGAAACUUCCUCGCCAGCGCUGUCUGUCGCUCCGCUCUCCCUCCCUCGCUCCCUCCCUGCCUCGGGAAAAUGGCAGUGCAAGAGCCUGAUGAAAAGGGGGAAAAAACCCUCCUUUCUCAGCGCCUGCCUCUCCUGCAGCACCUCCCCUCCCCAGCCGUGACGCCUGAACUCAAACUUCUCUAAAAUUACACUUUAGGAGGGUAGAUUUUCACGGGAGGGGAUGUGUUUUUUACACCCCACCGAAAAGAGGCGCCGAGGUGGGGGAAAGGCCGAGGGACAGCUUUUUCCAGACAGGAGAACCUGCUCUGACCCUUCCCGCACGGCAUCGCCAGGUCCCAAGGACUGGCAACACAAUAAGUUUUCCUUCAGUGGGAAAAUCCAGGCCCAGAGUUCAGAUCUUUCUCUUUUCGCAGCUUUAAAAGCCUUUUCUUUCCCCCUUUUUUUAACUCUUCACAGUGGGGUCCGCAGCAGAACGCGGUCACUCUGCCAACCCACCCGAGAGCUCCCAAAUCUGGUGGGAUUCAGGGAAAACAGACGGUUGGCUCCGGAUCCAGUGCAGGGGUUUUUGCAAACUCCGGUCCGC